This 233-nucleotide non-coding RNA is filed under the name Fructobacillus fructosus. RNAcentral describes it as "T-box sequence". It matches the Rfam family "T-box leader". Rfam says of the family: Uncharged tRNA acts as the effector for transcription antitermination of genes in the T-box leader family. The record is from RNAcentral. Lineage: Bacteria; Bacillati; Bacillota; Bacilli; Lactobacillales; Lactobacillaceae.
AUUAAAACGUUGAGCGGAAGAGUAGCAACUGAUCCUCCUUAACAGAAAGUGAUUCACAGCUGAGAGAAUCACAAGGAGCAGGUUUGCGAAACACACCCGUGAGUGCCUGAUUGAAUCAUCAGUAGGUUAGGUCGGUUUGUCCCCGUUACGGACCAGACGUCAACAGACGUCUUAAGCUUUUACCAGUGAUGGUAAAAGAAUCAUGAGGUGGGACCGCGUGCAACGCCCUCUAA